Molecule: long non-coding RNA, 1641 nt
Filed under: Macaca fascicularis (crab-eating macaque)
Lineage: Eukaryota; Metazoa; Chordata; Mammalia; Primates; Cercopithecidae
Description: lncRNA (ENSMFAG00000060174.1)
Source: RNAcentral
UUUUUUUUUUUUUUUUUUUUUUGAGAUGGAGUCUUGCACUGGAGUGCAGUGGCAUGAUCUUGGCUCACUGCAACCUCUGCCUCCCAGGUUCAAGUGAUUCUCCUGCCUCAGUCUCCCGAGUAGCUGGGAUUACAGGCACCUGCCACCACGCCUAGCUAAUUUUUUGUAUUUUUAGUAGAGAAGAGGUUUCACCAUGUUGGCCAGGCUGGUCUUGAACUCCUGACCUUGUGAUUUGCCCACCUUGGCCUCCCGAAGUGUUGAGAUUACAGGUGUUAGCCAGCACACCUGGCCUUUCUGAUAGAUUUUAAUGAGGUUUAGAGUCCUUCUGGGAAGCUAGAUUGGCACCACUCUGCUGUUAUUUUUUAGAUGUGUUCAGUAACCUUUAACCAGACAUUUAAGGGCACAACACUCUUUAAGCCUUAUGCUAUCCUAAUAAUCUUUAAACCAGAUAUUCCUCUUUUCAAAUUCUAGCUGAAUAAUAUUUAUUAAGUCAUUUUUUCCUCCCAAAAGUAAAUUUUUGAACUAGUUUUUUUUUGAAGUCUUUUCCCUUCCACCAAGCUUGAAAUAAAAUGUGUGUCAAUGUUCCAUUGAAUUUAUCUGAGAAACUGCUUUGACAGUAUUAUUAAUAUCACCAUUUUACAGACAAGAAAACCGUAGCCUGUGCAUUUAAGCGCUCCAUCGUACCUACACCCAGGGAGAGCAAAUUAAGCCAGCGUUCUAGGAAGCAACAAAGCAAAUCUGAACCCAAGAGGUCUGAGUCCCCAGUAAGAAAAGAAUCACUCAUUUCUUUUACUGGAAUCCCAUUAUUACCUGUUUUAUUUCAUAUUGAUUUGUGAAGACUGGUAGUCUGUGAUUCAUUCGGGCCCUCUUUUUGCCCCCAAGAUAUAUGUGUGCAGUUUACUCUCACUCUGCUUUCUAACUUUGAAAAGUUCUAAUUUGCUCUUUCAGUAAUUGAACCCAAUCUUGACUUGGGUGAAACUUUUCUCCAGUUUAUCAAGAGCCAUUUAAUCGAUUUUUAUGGUCUAGAGUGUCACUUUCUUGGCUCUUCAGCCCAUCAAGGCUGGAGCUUUAAUUCAUUAGUGUGUAUGGCUUAUGCCAAUCAACUCAACCAGAUUGUGUGGGUCUGCUGAGCUGAAGUAAAUUACUCAUUGGUUCUUGUGAGAAGAACCUUGAACAAGAUCACUGAGGGAUGCUAAAACAAUCUGGAUGCUUUUGGACUGGAGAAUGGGGGAUCUCUUUUCUAACUAACAAGCAUUAUAUUCUUAGAAUGAAAUCAAUUCCGUGGUGUACUGGAGUCAGUUCAAUCAACUCCUGUUACAUUUUCAGGAAAUUUGUGAAAUAGUUCAUGACAACUUUAUAGCUUUAAAAUGGCCAUUGUGGCUGUAUUUAUGCCACAGAAACUGGCAAAUGCCACAAAUCAGGGCUUUCUUUCCCCAUAGAGUCUGUUUUUAAACACUUAGCGAUGUUACCCAAACAAAACCAGGGUUCAUUUUCCUGGCAAGCAAUCAACAACUCUCCACAAGAACACAGGUUUUGAUCCAUAGGAGUUUUAUUACUCAUCACAAGUAAGGAGAGCACUGGGAGCGUUCUCUAAAGCAGUGUCUCUGUGAGGGAAAGUGACAGGAGAGUUUUAUGGGGCGA